This 250-nucleotide ribosomal RNA is filed under the name uncultured bacterium. RNAcentral describes it as "partial 16S ribosomal RNA". It matches the Rfam family "Bacterial small subunit ribosomal RNA", at positions 28 to 271 of the family's 1533-position model. The record is from RNAcentral.
GACGAACGCUGGCGGUGUGCUUAACACAUGCAAGUGGUGCGACGAACCAGAGCUUGCUCUGGGGCCAAGCCGCGAACGGGUGAGUAACACGUGGGUAAUCUGCCCCAAUGACCGGGACAACCCGAGGAAACUCGGGCUAAUACCGGAUGUGGCAUGUCGGCUCAAGCCGACCUGUCAAAGGUAGCUUCGGCUUCCGCAUUGGGAGGGGCCCGCGGCCCAUUAGCUUGUUGGUGGGGUCAAGGCCUACCAA